GAUGGUCAUGCGUCGCAUUAGCUAGUUGGCGGGGUAACGGCCCACCAAGGCGACGAUGCGUAGGGGUUCUGAGAGGAAGGUCCCCCACACUGGUACUGAGACACGGACCAGACUCCUACGGGAGGCAGCAGUGAGGAAUAUUGGUCAAUGGCCGCAGGCCUGAACCAGCCAAGUCGCGUGAGGGAUGACGGUCCUAUGGAUUGUAAACCUCUUUUGUCAGGGAGCAAAGGGCGCCACGUGUGGCGCUUUGCGAGUACCUGAAGAAAAAGCAUCGGCUAACUCCGUGCCAGCAGCCGCGGUAAUACGGAGGAUGCGAGCGUUAUCCGGAUUUAUUGGGUUUAAAGGGUGCGCAGGCGGAAUGUCAAGUCAGCGGUAAAAUUUCGGGGCUCAACCCCGUCGUGCCGUUGAAACUGGCGUUCUUGAGUGAGCGAGAAGUAUGCGGAAUGCGUGGUGUAGCGGUGAAAUGCAUAGAUAUCACGCAGAACUCCGAUUGCGAAGGCAGCAUACCGGCGCUCAACUGACGCUCAUGCACGAAAGCGUGGGUAUCGAACAGGAUUAGAUACCCUGGUAGUCCACGCAGUAAACGAUGAAUACUAACUGUCCGGGCAGAAUGAUGCCUGG
RNAcentral lists this ribosomal RNA (621 nucleotides) under uncultured bacterium. RNAcentral's name for it is "bacterial SSU rRNA". It matches the Rfam family "Bacterial small subunit ribosomal RNA", at positions 224 to 842 of the family's 1533-position model. The record is from RNAcentral.